This 323-nucleotide unclassified non-coding RNA is filed under the name soil metagenome. RNAcentral describes it as "partial contains 5.8S ribosomal RNA, internal transcribed spacer 2, and large subunit ribosomal RNA". The stretch from base 1 to 120 matches the Rfam family "5.8S ribosomal RNA", at positions 35 to 154 of the family's 154-position model. The record is from RNAcentral.
GAUGAAGAACGCAGCGAAAUGCGAUAAUUAAUGUGAAUUGCAGAAUUUAGUGAAUCAUCGAAUCUUUGAACGCACAUUGCGCCCCUUGGUAUUCCGGGGGGCAUGCCUGUUCGAGCGUCAUUUCAACCCUCAAGCUCUGCUUGGUGUUGGGCCCUGCCCGCUGCGGCCGGCCCUAAAGACAGUGGCGGUGCCGCCUGGCCCUGAGCGUAGUACAUCUCUCGCUCCAGUGCCCGGUGGUAGCCUGCCAGAACCCCAACUCUCGUGGUUGACCUCGGAUCAGGUAGGGAUACCCGCUGAACUUAAGCAUAUCAAUAAGCGGAGGA